Non-coding RNA from Trichonephila clavipes, 69 nucleotides. NCBI's taxonomy places the organism in Eukaryota, Metazoa, Arthropoda, Arachnida, Araneae, Nephilidae. The record is from the annotation of a GenBank genome assembly.
AUGUAGCGCAAUGGAUAGCGCAUUGAACUUCUAAUUCAGAGGUCGUGAGUUUGAAUCUCACCUGAGAUG